UGUAUGACAGUUCCAGUUUCCCCACAUCCUUGCCAACGCUGGUUAUUAUCAGUCUUUUUGCUUAUAACCAUCCUAAUGGAUGUGAAAGUUGACUUGAAUUUGUGCGAUGGUUCAUGGCAUUGAACUUUCAUGUCCUUAUUGGCCAUUAUGUCUUUGGUGAAAUACCUAUGGAGAUCCCUUGCCCAUUUUAUCAGUUGGUCUAUUAUUGAGUUGUAGGAGUUCUUUUUACAUUCUGGAUAUCAGCCCCUUAUCAGAUAUGUGAUUGGCAAGUAUUUUCUCCCAUUUGGUGGAUUGUCUUUUCAUUUUCUUCAUGGUGUCACUUGUUUUGGUGUCAAAAUUCUACAUUUUGAUGAAGUCCAGCGUAUCUCUUUUUUCUUUUGUUGCUUGUGCUUUUUGUGUUAUAGCUAAGAAAUUAUUGCCUAACCCAAGGUAACAAAGAUGUACACCUGAUGUUCCAGUUCCCAUUGUGGCUCAGGGGGUUAAGAAUCCAACUAGUAUCCGUGGAGAUGCAGGUUUGAGAUAGAGAUCUGACUUCAUUAUUUUGCAUGUGGUGACCCAGUUGUUCCUGCACCAUCUGUUAUUAUUUUUUCCAAAUAACAUUUUUAUUUUGAAAAGUGUUUAGAUUUAUAGAAAUGUUACAGAAAUAAUAUAGAGAGCACCUGUAUACAAUUGACCCUUGAACAACACGGGGGUUUGGGGAGCCCACCCUCUCCUCAGUCAAAAAUCCAAGAAUAACUUUACAGUCGGCCCUCCAUGUCCACAGCCCUGUAUCCACAGAUUCAACCAACCUUGGAUUGUGCCAUACUGCAGUGUUUACUACUGAAAAAAAAAAAAAUCCGCAUAGAAGUGGGCCCAUACAGUUCAAACCCCUAUUGUUCAAGGGUCAGCUGUGUCUCUUUUUAACAACUCUAUGGUUUUCCCCUUAGGCCUAUGUCAUAACCCCCUUAGGCCUAUGUACCCAUUCCCAAAUUUCAUGGACCCUUUAUACAGUUUAUUGGCCUUUUCUACUCCAAUUUUUCUCCAAUGGACAGAGUUAAGCCUAGUAAUUGUCUACCCACAGGUCUUUUUUCCAAGGCAUAUGGAAGUUCCUGGGCACGGCUCAAAUGUGUGUCACAGCAGUGACCCAAGCCACUGCAGUGAUGAUGCCAGGUCCUUAACCUCCUGAGCCACACGGUAACUCCCCAAAGGUCUUUUUUUAUUUAUGAUCGUCACCACUGGCUUGCGGUAGUGGAGAGUAGGCUAAGAUAAUUUGUUCCAGAUUCAUAGGAAGUAGAUACUUUUUAAAAGGGUUACUUUUUUUUUAAGUGUGCACUUUGGGAGUGUUGAUUGUGUUUAUAUUGUGUGACAGAAGAGUUACUUGUAUAAACUCAGAAAAUUAUGUAAAAUAAUCUGAAUAAUAGUAACCAGAAAAUAUUUCCAGAAAGUAUUUUCAUAGCAACACUUUCCAUUCUCAUGGAUGUGUCUUCUCUCUGACUCUUCCAGGCUCUUUGGCUCCUGAGCUCCAGAUAUGGAACCAGGAACACAGCUUCUCAGAUGCUGAGUCUCUCUUCCUCUGUUCCUGACGACUUCAAGAAUAUUUUGAUUGGAAAACUGGUGACCUUCCCAGAAAACCCAAGCAUGUGGUGGGUGGAAAAAAUGUUCAGCAAGAUGCACACAGUUUCCCAGCCAUGUCACUGUUUUCUUUUCAAAGAUAUUUUCACUUUGAUCUCUGCACUGAAAUGCUGUCUACUAAAAGAGUUUGAGGAGGGCUUAUGCAUGGGGCUGUGAUAACUGGCAUUCCCCAGAGAUAAAAGACCAAAUCUAGAUUGUUUCAUCAGAUCAGAAUCCCUCCUUUACCAAGCUUUCACUGGAACCCCAUUUCUGGGUGUUUCUUGGUUUGUUUUUAAUAACCAUACUAACUGGUUCAAAUUAUACAGAUUUUGAAAAAUAUUUUUUAUCCACGGAUUUGAUGCAGAAAGGUUGGCCUUUAAGUUUAAUGCACCCUCUUAUGGGGCUGCAUUUAUGAGGAACAAGCAAGUUCAGUGUUGCUGGGUCUGGGUCCAAACUUCAUCCCUAUUCCGACGGGCUCUGCUCAGUCACUCUGUGCCACUGAGGUUGUCCCCAGGACUUGAAGGGUGAAGUAUAACUGAUCCCCACGGAAGAGAGGUAUAGAACAGUUGGCAGGGAAGGAUGGGGAUUUUAUGAGAAAUUUUGCCUUGCUUUCAAGCCCUCUAUUAAAGUAACUUUUGGGGCCAUUCAUUGUACAGUUUUUAGAAUGAUUUUUGUGGUGAUAUUGGGACCCAGUCCUGAAAGCUUGGGUUUUUGGGGUGUGCUUUGUUGGUGGGUAGUUUCAAGGUUGCAAAACAGUAAGCCUCAUUUGAGGAAAUACAAUAUUUUGCACAGAAGCUUCUUGGAAGGAAGUCCUGGUUUAAUUGCCAAAAUGACAUGCUGGUGGUCAGGGCUCAGAUUCCACAGGUGUUGGAUUUGUUUGUUGUGGUUUUCGAAAUCCUGACUUGUAGGUAACCUGGUGCGAGGAAAAACAAAUAGGCAGGCUUUUAGAACUAAAUAGCAUUGAAAAUAAAGCUUGUUUCAAAAAAGGACUUUUUGUUUAUACAUUUUUUACCCAAGAAAUUGGCUUUUUUUCUUUUAAAUUAAAAAAAAAAUCUUUUUUGUUACUUUUAUUUAGUUUUUUAAAAAUUUAUUUUAUUAGAGUUCCUGCAGUGGUGCAGUGGGUUAAGAGGCCGGCAUUUUCUCUGUGGUGGUGCAGUUUCAAUCCCUGGCCUAGCCCAGUGGGUUGGAGAUUUGGUGUUGCUGCAGCUGUGGCAUAGAUCAAAGCUGUGGCUCAGAUUCAGUCCCUG
Molecule: long non-coding RNA, 2837 nt
Filed under: Sus scrofa (pig)
Lineage: Eukaryota; Metazoa; Chordata; Mammalia; Artiodactyla; Suidae
Description: lncRNA (ENSSSCG00050062306.1)
Source: RNAcentral